RNAcentral lists this ribosomal RNA (498 nucleotides) under uncultured bacterium. RNAcentral's name for it is "bacterial SSU rRNA". It matches the Rfam family "Bacterial small subunit ribosomal RNA", at positions 25 to 518 of the family's 1533-position model. The record is from RNAcentral.
CAGGACGAACGCUAGCGACAGGCCUAACACAUGCAAGUCGAGGGGCAGCACAAGGAGCAAUCUGAGGUGGCGACCGGCGCACGGGUGAGUAACACGUAUGCAACCUGCCUGUAAGCGGGGAAUAACCCGUUGAAAGACGGACUGAUACCGCAUAAUACUAAAUUACUGCAUGGUAAUUUAUUUAAACAUUUAUGGCUUACAGAUGGGCAUGCGCAUGAUUAGCUAGUUGGAGAGGUAACGGCUCCCCAAGGCAACGAUCAUUAGGGGUUCUGAGAGGAAGGUCCCCCACACUGGUACUGAGACACGGACCAGACUCCUACGGGAGGCAGCAGUGAGGAAUAUUGGUCAAUGGACGAGAGUCUGAACCAGCCAAGUCGCGUGCAGGAAGAAUGUCCUAUGGAUUGUAAACUGCUUUUGCAGGGGAAUAAAGUGCAUCACGUGUGAUGUUUUGUAUGUACUCUGCGAAUAAGGAUCGGCUAACUCCGUGCCAGCCGCCGC